UGGGGGAUCGUCUAAUGGCAGGACAACGGGUUCUGGCCCCGUUAAUCUAGGUUCGAAUCCUAGUCCCUCAGCCA
This 74-nucleotide transfer RNA is filed under the name Desulfobacterales bacterium CG07_land_8_20_14_0_80_52_14. RNAcentral describes it as "tRNA-Gln". It matches the Rfam family "tRNA". Rfam says of the family: Transfer RNA (tRNA) molecules are approximately 80 nucleotides in length. Their secondary structure includes four short double-helical elements and three loops (D, anti-codon, and T loops). RNAcentral also lists the same sequence under 1 other name. The record is from RNAcentral. Lineage: Bacteria; Pseudomonadati; Thermodesulfobacteriota; Desulfobacteria; Desulfobacterales.